UGCCAGACUCCUACGGGAGGCAGCAGUGGGGAAUAUUGCACAAUGGGGGAAACCCUGAUGCAGCGACGCCGCGUGAAGGAAGAAGUAUCUCGGUAUGUAAACUUCUAUCAGCAGGGAAGAAAACAGACGGUACCUGACUAAGAAGCCCCGGCUAACUACGUGCCAGCAGCCGCGGUAAUACGUAGGGGGCAAGCGUUGUUCGGAAUGACUGGGCGUAAAGGGUGCGUAGGCGGUGUAGCAAGUUAGAAGUGAAAUACCUAGAGCUUAACUCAGGUGCUGCUUCUAAAACUGCUAUACUUGAGUGCAGUAGAGGAAAGUGGAAUUCCUAGUGUAGCGGUGGAAUGCGUAGAUAUUAGGAGGAACAUCAGUGGCGAAGGCGACUUUCUGGACUGUAACUGACGCUGAGGCACGAAAGUGUGGGGAGCAAACAGGAUUAGAUACCCGUGUACC
This 450-nucleotide ribosomal RNA is filed under the name uncultured bacterium. Its description in RNAcentral is "bacterial SSU rRNA". It matches the Rfam family "Bacterial small subunit ribosomal RNA", at positions 329 to 794 of the family's 1533-position model. The record is from RNAcentral.